GCAGUUGUGGAGUUGCAGAGAGCCGAACGAUGGAAAGUUGCUGCUGGGGAAGAACGGAGUAGAGUACGGGAUGUGCAUCUCAGUAAACCAAGUUGAAAUCUUGGGAAAAUAUCUUCUCUAGAUGACUUGCAAGCCAUACCAUGAAAUCAAGCGAGGACACCAUCUGUAGGUGUUUGCAAUGAAACAUUAAGGAAACCGAGUGUUCGAGGGGUUUGAUUGCAAGGUUACUUCUUAGUUGGGUCACAUCUUAUGAGGUAUUGCUCAUACAGAUACAUGAGCAUCGUCAAUCAUGAGACCACCAGCGGAUUGCCAAUAUCAUCUACCAGAUUGAUCUACAUGUCGUGACAUCCAUUUCGUUGAAGAAUUUUACUGCCAAACAAUAUGCAGCAUCACCUCUAAGCAGUGCUUUGUAGGCAAGCAUUC
This is a long non-coding RNA of Lolium rigidum, 423 nucleotides long. RefSeq lists it as uncharacterized. The record is from RefSeq and is a predicted model, not a curated record. The transcript has 4 exons. NCBI's taxonomy places the organism in Eukaryota, Viridiplantae, Streptophyta, Magnoliopsida, Poales, Poaceae.